ACGUAUGGUGCGAGCGUUGUCCGGAAUUAUUGGGCGUAAAGGGUACGUAGGCGGUUUAAUAAGUCAAAUGUUAAAGCGUGAGGCUCAACCUCAUAAAGCAUAUGAAACUAUUAAACUUGAGUAGUGGAGAGGAAAGUGGAAUUCCUAGUGUAGCGGUGAAAUGCGUAGAUAUUAGGAGGAAUACCAGUUGCGAAGGCGACUUUCUGGACACAAACUGACGCUGAGGUACGAAAGCGUGGGGAGCAAACAG
RNAcentral lists this ribosomal RNA (250 nucleotides) under uncultured bacterium. RNAcentral's name for it is "partial 16S ribosomal RNA". It matches the Rfam family "Bacterial small subunit ribosomal RNA", at positions 525 to 775 of the family's 1533-position model. The record is from RNAcentral.